AGUGAACGCUGGCGGUAGGCCUAACACAUGCAAGUCGAACGGCAGCACAGAGGAGCUUGCUCCUUGGGUGGCGAGUGGCGGACGGGUGAGGAAUACAUCGGAAUCUACUCUGUCGUGGGGGAUAACGUAGGGAAACUUACGCUGAUACCGCAUACGACCUACGGGUGAAAGCGGGGGACCUUCGGGCCUUGCGCGAUUGAAUGAGCCGAUGUCGGAUUAGCUAGUUGGCGGGGUAAAGGCCCACCAAGGCGACGAUCCGUAGCUGGUCUGAUGGGAUGAUCAGCCACACUGGAACUGAGACACGGUCCAGACUCCUACGGGAGGCAUCGUUGCAGAAUAUUGGACAAUGGGCGAAAGCCUGAUCCAACCAUUCCGCGUGGGUGAAGAAGGCCUUCGGGUUGUAAAGCCCUUUUGUUGGGAAAGAAAUCCAGCUGGCUAAUACCCGGUUGGGAUGACGGUACCCAAAGAAUAAGCACCGGCUAACUUCGUGCCAGCCGCCGCCGUAA
RNAcentral lists this ribosomal RNA (506 nucleotides) under uncultured bacterium. RNAcentral describes it as "partial 16S ribosomal RNA". It matches the Rfam family "Bacterial small subunit ribosomal RNA", at positions 29 to 523 of the family's 1533-position model. The record is from RNAcentral.